RNAcentral lists this long non-coding RNA (976 nucleotides) under Drosophila guanche. The record is from RNAcentral. Lineage: Eukaryota; Metazoa; Arthropoda; Insecta; Diptera; Drosophilidae.
UAGCAAGCCGUAGAAAAUUAUACAAAAAAUCUACCAAAACUGUCAGGCAAAAGCUGCCCUUAAAGCUGCCCCGGCAAUCAUGCUUGAACCUUGCGUGUAUGUCUUUUACUCGCCAUAUCAGUCAACAGAGAUCUCCGCCAUCGAAGAAGGCCGAAAGUGAGAAGCGAGAAGAGAGAGAGAAAGAGAUUUUAAUUACAUCUCUACGACCGAUGCCCGAUGUCUGUGGGUCUGUGGCAGUUUUAGCAGUGGAUAUUGGGCUGGUUGCCUGUUGCUAUGGCAAUUAUUUACAUUAACACGAUCACAACUUAGAGACACUGCACAUGCAUCAUCGUGUUGCUUUGUAGAUCGAGAUCUCUCUCAAGACUAGAGGAAGGCACCAACCCAGAGACAGAGACAGCGACAGAGUACCCAGACAACAGUCGUUCGAGUCGUCGUUGUUUUCCUGUCGCUGUCGGCGAUGUCUGUGGUGCCUGCCUGCCAGGUAUGCAUAUUAAUUUAUUGGAAUCAUGUUAGUGAGUCGAUAUUGAUACAAAUCCAUUUUCGAUCGCGUUGCCUCGAUACCAAAAAAGCGCCCGAGAACAAGCAGACAGCAGCAGCAGAUACCAAAAGGGGCUGUGGGGAGAGGUCUUCGCACACAUGCUGGGUCCCUGCCUGCAGUUGGCAGCAAACAUUACACAACAGAAGAUCAGCAGACAGAAGCCAGAACCAGCCAGCUACCUACCAAAAGUGCUCUGUGGGCAGUGGGCUGCAGGUCUUGCAGGUCUGCAUGCCUUGCAGGUCUGUCUCUUGGAUCCAAAGGUCUGUCUCUGUCGCCUGUAACCCCCCAGCGUACAUCGCAUGAUCAGCGACCGUAUUGAGCGUUAAUCGUUCGACCAUCAUGUGAUUAUAUGUGGGGUUUGCUUGGUUGGGGGAGUUUGGGUUUAGCCAUCGCCGUCAUGACAGUUUCUUCGAUCCUUCUAAAUCCUAAAAUAGGUAG